This is a long non-coding RNA of Oncorhynchus keta (chum salmon), 395 nucleotides long. RefSeq lists it as uncharacterized. Lineage: Eukaryota; Metazoa; Chordata; Actinopteri; Salmoniformes; Salmonidae. The transcript is spliced from 4 exons. The record is from RefSeq and is a predicted model, not a curated record.
UUACAAUAAAACAUCUCUAGCUGUCUUCAUUCUUCUGACAAGAGUAUCUAGGUUACAAUAAAACAUCUCUAGCUGUCUUCAUUCUUCUGACAAGAGUAUCUAGGUUACAAUAAAACAUCUCUAGCUGUCUUCAUUCUUCUGACAAGAGUAUCUAGGUUACAAUAAAACAUCUCUAGCUGUCUUCAUUCUUCUGACAAGAGUAUCUAGGUUACAAUAAAACAUCUCUAGCUGUCUUCAUUCUUCUGACAAGAGUAUCUAGGUUACAAUAAAACAUCUCUAGCUGUCUUCAUUCUUCUGACAAGAGUAUCUAGGUUACAAUAAAACAUCUCUAGCUGUCUUCAUUCUUCUGACAAGAGUAUCUAGGUUACAAUAAAACAUCUCUAGCUGUCUUCAUU